This 3020-nucleotide long non-coding RNA is filed under the name Olea europaea subsp. europaea. Lineage: Eukaryota; Viridiplantae; Streptophyta; Magnoliopsida; Lamiales; Oleaceae. The record is from RNAcentral.
CACGAAAAGAUGUUUGUCUCGAUCCAGGUUCCCAAGAUGCAACAUGUAUUUCAUCUAUUGCCCUUAUACAAUCCUUAAAGAAUGGAUAUUUGCGUAAAAUCUGUUCAUACACAAUGUCUUGAUUUGUCGGAAGGAUUAUCUCAAUGCCAAAUGAACAAAUAUCCCUUGCAACUCGUUUAAACCAUUUGUGUAUCGUGUUAUUGGAAUGCUCAAAUCUUUUACCAAUAACACUGUAUCGUGUAGUGUGACCUACAAACACAGAAACAUAGCAACGCCCUCUUCGACGCUCACUUUUUUUUCCAUCUUUCAGCAAUCAUUUCUCUUUCAAAAUAUCACAAAAAUUCAUGAAAACGUGUUUCUACAUACGAAAAUUAAAAUAGCACACGUCUGGAUGUCCAUUUAGAAUUUUUAGCAUGUACAUUUUUCCCAUAAGCAAUGAUGUUCUAAAUGGUCACUUGCUAAUAAUACUUUCUUUGUUGGAAACAAAGUAAUUAAGUAUCAUUAAAUCUCCAAAAUUCCUGUCAAAAUCAUCCAUAAAUAACAAAUCAUCAUCACUCGAAACUUUAUCAAUGGAAUCAUUGGUACUCACAUAAACAAAAUAUAACCACAAUAAUUAUCAUAAAUCAUAUCAACCAUCAUUCUUUCGAAUAAAAUAAGCAAUCAAGCAUUCAGAAACUAAAGAAAAAUUAACAUCAGUUCUCCAUCCAAUAACAUCACUAAGUUCGUAAAUGAAAAUAGUAUAACAUCGCCACAAAAGGGAAAAAAAUAUUUCAAGUUGUGAAAUUAACAAAGUACUUCAACCUUCAACAUCACAAAUUAAGACAACACGAUACUAAAGAAAUUAAAACAACAGUCACAUGAAAGUAGUUACAAGAUAGGUCAUCUCCUUACUUCUGGCGUCUUCACAAAUGACACUCUGAAAUCGGUAUUCUUAAAAGCCUUUAAUGUUCUCAUAUAAACCUCAUUGGACACCCAUUCCAUAUUUUCUAAGAUGUCCAAGCAUAUAACAUUGGAAUAAGGAUUCGGACUAUUAAUUUCACUAUUCGAUUGAUUAUAUGAUUUUUCUUAGAUCUUUGCAAGCUUUUCUUUUAGGUAAAGUGUUCUAAGUUCAGUUUCUUCAUUCUUCAAACUAACUGUAGAUAACCACUGUGCCAUGCAGGCCUCGAUUUUAUCACUUUUACUGAUUUUAGGUUUCUUACGUCGGCAUUCAGUCGAUGUACCAAUUUUUCCAUGUCGACGUGUAUUUGAAACCUCAUCGACUUCAUCAUCAUUUUUCGCACGUAUAUGUACUCUUCUAUUCAAAAAAUCAUCUUCUAACUACCUUGCUUCCUCUAAUGUGUUUGGAAGCUGAGUGGAGGCAUUGUCUAAUCCUCCAGAAGUAGUAGUUUCGCUAAAUAUCUCCCCAAGAGUGUGGUAGUGCUUACAUCCUUCCUUCUUGAACAUAUUGUAAUCGAACUUGUUAAUCUAUCAUUUUAAAAAGAAGACACAUUGUCAUAGUGUUAAUAAAAAAUUGUAAAAUUGAUAAGAUAAAAACAAAUGAUGAAAACAUUCUUUAAUAAAUAUAUGUAUCGUAUGAAAGUGUUGCCAAACUUCCUCUGCAACAUUAAUGUUGGUAUUUGGAUCCCAUGUAACACCAAUAUGUCCCAAAAGUUCAAAGAGCAUACAAUGAAUCUUACGUAAGCGGUUUCACUUUCCCUUUAAUCUAUCUAUGCUGUAAUCUAUUUUUAUUGAAGCUAUCAUCAUUGACCCUGCCCCAUUCGCCAUUUGCAUUUGAUUUCACUUUCUAGUAAAGAAUUUCAAUAAAAGCUUGUUCAUUCUCAUCCAACCAUGAUAUUGGUUCCUUAUUCCUAACUCUGUGAUCACUUAUGUUGAAGCUAUAUUGAAUAUACAUCAAAUUAUCAAGAAAUAAAUAAGACCUUACAUAGGCUACUCCUUACAUGAUACAUUGAAAGACAAUUAACUCAUAUUUUGCAUGUGAUUUGCAUUCUAAAGCUAUGGAAAUGGAACUUAGAGAACAUAAUGCUUUCACUAAAACCACAUAAUGGCACCUUGUAAGUUUUCUGGCUUGAAAGAUGGGAAAAAUUUGCUAAAAGAAACCAAAUGAAUCAUGUAAUGCUCCAUUUAAUGACACCUUGAAAGUCAAAUUAGAAUUUUGCACGUGAUUUACUUUUGAAUAUUUGAACUAAAAAUCAACACCUGAUACUUCCACUUCAUCUAAAGCGAUAAAGGGGGAUGCAGUGAGAUGAGUCAGAAAAGAAAUCAAGAAUAAGCAUCCUAAAUGGCUUAGAGUAGCAAAUCAUAUCCUUGAAAUCCAAUCACUACAACUAUAGCCCCUAUAUGUACGAUUCACAUGAAAAUUUUGUCUAGCCACAAGAAGUUCAAAUUUGAAAAAUACUUCCGCUUUAAGAAAUCACACUAUUGACAAAAAAUGGUCAAAUUCAAAUGUAGUUUUUCCUCUAUCCACAUUCAAAAAUAAGGUGUACUUCCAUUUUUCCUUAACUUAUUGGUAUAACAAGGUAUGACCAUGUAUGCCCUCUUGCUGUAAUUCUUUGCUAAAACAUAUUUAACACAACUAAGGUCAAGCUAAACUACCAAUGGAAGAUAAUGGAGAAAGCUGUUAAUCAAAUUUUCACAAAAUCCUAAUUCAGAGUUCCUAAAAUCUGUUUCUUAGUUUUUAUUAGCAAUUGAAACACUCAAAUUAAUAUAUCCAUCAAAGGAAUGAGAUCACAACUACAAUAACCAAAUUCAGGACAAAAGUUAAAUUUGACAGUGUCCUAUUCUCCUCUCCUUAAUGUAAUUCAGAAUACAUGUAAUUCAUAAUAUUACAUCCAAUCCUAGUACAGAAUAAACCUAAGAAUCGUAUUCAAUAGGCAAAAAAACCAAUAAACACAUUAAGCCCAUUUAAGCUAUUACUUUGAAAAGAAAACAAAAGAAAAAUAUGGUUUGAAACUAAGAAAAUGAAAGAAGUAUUGCAAAAUGAUGGAAGAAAAUCAAGUUUAAGAACAAAAAAAAAAAAAACC